AGAACGAACGCUGGCGGCGUGGAUAAGACAUGCAAGUCGAACGGGAUUAUUUUUGUAGCAAUACAGAAAUAAUUCAGUGGCGAACGGGUGCGUAACACGUGGGCAAUCUGCCGAAAAGUGGGGGAUAGCUCGCCGAAAGGCGAAUUAAUACCGCAUGUGGUGAGGGACGACAUCUUCCUGAAUCCAAAGCCGGGGCAACCUGGCGCUUUUUGAGGAGCCCGCGGCCUAUCAGCUAGUUGGUGAGGUAACGGCUCACCAAGGCUUUGACGGGUAGCUGGUCUGAGAGGACGACCAGUCACACUGGAACUGAGACACGGUCCAGACACCUACGGGUGGCAGCAGUCGAGAUUUUCUCAAUGGGGGAAACCCUGAAGGAGCGACGCCGCGUGGAGGAUGAAGGCGUUUCGGGUUGUAAACUCCUGUCAUUUGAGAACAAGGUGCGAGAAUUAACUGUCCUGCAUUGAUAGUAUCAGAAGAGGAAGGUACGACGUAACUCUGUCGCAG
RNAcentral lists this ribosomal RNA (504 nucleotides) under uncultured soil bacterium. RNAcentral describes it as "bacterial SSU rRNA". It matches the Rfam family "Bacterial small subunit ribosomal RNA", at positions 26 to 511 of the family's 1533-position model. The record is from RNAcentral.